This 253-nucleotide ribosomal RNA is filed under the name uncultured bacterium. RNAcentral's name for it is "partial 16S ribosomal RNA". It matches the Rfam family "Bacterial small subunit ribosomal RNA", at positions 524 to 776 of the family's 1533-position model. The record is from RNAcentral.
UACGUAGGGUCCGAGCGUUGUCCGGAAUUACUGGGCGUAAAGAGCUCGUAGGUGGUUUGUCGCGUUGUUCGUGAAAACUCACAGCUCAACUGUGGGCGUGCGGGCGAUACGGGCAGACUAGAGUACUGCAGGGGAGACUGGAAUUCCUGGUGUAGCGGUGGAAUGCGCAGAUAUCAGGAGGAACACCGGUGGCGAAGGCGGCUAUCUGGACAGAAACUGACGCUGAGGCGCGAAAGCUAGGGGAGCAAACAGG